This 262-nucleotide small RNA is filed under the name Arabidopsis thaliana (thale cress). RNAcentral's name for it is "ATSL206940". Lineage: Eukaryota; Viridiplantae; Streptophyta; Magnoliopsida; Brassicales; Brassicaceae. The record is from RNAcentral.
AGAAGAUCUUCCUUACUCUUUCUCUUGCUAUUAUUGAUUUCUUAUUCAGACUUUGAUUUGUGUUUCUACUAUCAUGUCUGAGUAAUCACCUUAUUGGGUUUAAGGAGUCUCAAUAGGGAUUUAGAUGGAUUAGUAGAUCGAAAACCGCUUAGGAUUAUUCUUAGAGUUCUUCAUCUUGAUUAUUCUUAUUGCUAGUUUUAGAUUGAUCACUUAGAAUUUGAUAUUAGAUAAUAGGUAUGCCCACCAUAGGUACUUGUUAUUU